Ictidomys tridecemlineatus (thirteen-lined ground squirrel) is the source of this 6507-nucleotide non-coding RNA. Lineage: Eukaryota; Metazoa; Chordata; Mammalia; Rodentia; Sciuridae. The record is from RefSeq and is a predicted model, not a curated record.
UUUUUCAGCUUCUUGGUCUGAAAAUGUAUCAUGAGGCUAGAUUAAUAGGCUACACCAGAAGUAGGUGACACAGAGAUGAAGAAGAAAUAUGCUUGUCCUGCAAGAGGCAAUUGUGGUUUGCAAUAAGAUACAAAAGUGGGCAAGCCAAGGAAUGCUCAAGGAAAUAAGUUAUUUACUAUUCUUUCAGUGAUUUCCCAUAGCAAUUUCCCUAAUGCAACUUCAAAGGAGAGGCCAGGAAAUCUAUCCAGGUCACAUUAGUCAGAUGUGUGCCUGUGUAUGGAUUAUUCUGUGCAGUACCUAUUCACAUGUCAAAUUAGGAGGUUUGCUUACUCCUUUUGGUCCAAUUAUUGGCUAAGUCUCAAUCUAUCUUCUACCCUUUCCCGAUUCUUAACACCCUCCCCACUCCAUCUCCUUUUAGGAUUGAUUCAGGAUGAGCCACAAGCAAAAAUCUUCUGCAACCUCCAAGUUUCUUCUGAACAUCCCUUUACUUCUUGGUCUACCUGACUCUCUCCUAUGGAUACCACUUCCCUGGAAGACUCUCAGGUCUUUAACUUAAAAUAUUCUGGGAAAGAAGGCUUUGAAGAUAUUAAAUGUUCAAAUUUUGAAUUCUGAGGAUAAAAAUGUCAUGUUAAUAAAUUAAUCUCUUACUACUAAAACUCACCAGUAAAAUGCAAAAAUUGAAUUAGCUGAAUUGCCAAAACACUCUUAAUAACAAAUCAGCAUAUAUACACAUCAUGGUUAUAAAGGUUUAUAAAUAUUAUAAUAAUAUGAGUAAUCUGCAUUAUUUUAGGAAGCAGCUUCUCUAUGCUGUCACAUAAAUAUGAUUCCACUGGGUGUGACAAGAAAUAAGAGUCUGAAUAAAUUUGGUCAUAAAACAAUGCAGUAACACUAAAGUACACAGAACAAUAAUUGGUAUGCUGAUGCACUACCCUUUUUUUUUGAAGCUCCUAAAAGCUUACAGACCUCAUUUCAUGAUUUUUCCCUUACAAAAAAUUUUUAUUCAUAUUUAUGUGGACACAGGCAUACCUAUAAAGUAAGAUACAUUUAUCUCCACUGAAAGAUCAAUGAAUGAAUUCUAGAUAAAUAAUGCAAUGUGUGUUAUACAGAACUCUGCAAAACAUAUACUUCCACAUUAUACUCUCAGACAAAAGCACAGAAAAUUAGAAGCUGGAAAUGAUUAUGCCAGAUUUUUGGAGUUUUAAUUUAGUGAGACUGUUAGACCUACAGAAUUUCCAUUAGGGACUUGGCAAGAAGAUGUUAAAAGGACAAGUAUAAAAUAUAAUACAUAAAAAUGAGGCAAUGUAGAUUUAAAAAAAAUAUAACAAUAAAACCAUCCACCUAACAUGAAACCUCAUGAUAAUCUUCCUGCUUUUGAUUACUCCUAAUGCAUACAAUUCAAGAACUCAGAUUUAGAACACUAAGGAACAAUAUGGAUCUAUAGGCAACUAAGAAAUAAUGAACAAAUAAAAUACCACUGUAGUUUAUAUUUUCUUUCUAAGGUAAAGGUAAUUGUACAAGACGAAUUGACUAUUAAGUAGCAGUUUGAUGCUAUGCUUGCUGGAAACAUAUGUGCUAAGUACCCAAUUAUGUACAAAUAAUAAGCUCUAUUGAGCAUGAAUAUAUUAUUAAAUUGUACUGUUUACUAUGAAAAAAAUUAAAAAUAUGUAAUUCACAAUCACAUGAAAAUAAAUCUCCAAAAGACUCAAUGACUACCAUGAUUUCCUCAACUCUUUCCCAAAACAAAUAUGAAAUGUUAUUUUGGAAGUACUCAACGUUUUAGAAGAAUUAGAUAACAUUUGAUAACUCAAAUCAUUCAAUGAUUCACUUGUUUUAAGCAUAUUAAGGGUAUUUCUUUAAUGGCAAAAUACUUUAUUAUUCUGAUCUAUCUCAUUUUAAAACAAUUAAAAUUAUCAAGUGUUUAAUGCUUAUUAAAACAUAAGUGAUUCAUUCAAUGCAACAGACACAAUAGGAAAAUAUAUUUAAAAAAUCUUGCAUAUCAUUUUUACUUAUUGCUAUUAUUCUCACCAAUUCUGUGAAGUCUAGAAAACUUGGACUACUUUUCUUGAGGAAAUAUAUGAUCUUAGUUAACUAAUAUUGACUGGGAAUAAAUAAAAUAUUUUUUUGUUAUUUUUAUCUUCAGAAAAUAAUGGAAUUAUCAAGUGUACAUUCCAUAUAGCUAACUGUAGUUAAAACACAAAAUUAACAAUGGGUUGCUCCUGAAGUCUCUAUUCUUAGAUAUUAGGAACACUUAUGUAACAUUUCUUAUUUUUCACUUAUUUUUUAAAAUUACAGUUAAUGCAAAAGUUAAUCACCCUAGUCAAAAUUACACAGUUUAAAAUUCUAUAUCUCUGUGUAUAUAUUCAUAUACAUACACACACGUACACAUAUAUACAUUUAUAUAUAAAGCAAUAAAACUUCAAUGUUUUAACAAAAUAUCUCUAAAAGUUCAGAAGUUACUUACUUUCUAUCAAGAUGCAUUGGAGGAAUCAUGAUGUCCCAAUUUAUAAAAGAAAAACAAAGAAAAAAAAGAAGAAAAGAAAGUUAGUUUUCCAACAUUAAACAUGAUUCCACAUUUUACCAUUUCCACACAUAGGACAAUGUGUAAGAACUAGACCAAAGCCUUAGAUUUGGCUGCCUAUGAGAAGAUGGGAAGGAAAAAAAGGUCAGUAGGCUAAAAGUGACUUUGCUUUCCUUCCUAAUUCUUCUACAAUGUUUUCAUUUUGUUCAUAAUGCACAUAUAUUUCCAGAUUAUAAAUACAAUAAGAAACAACUAAGCAGGACAAUGUACACCCCCAAUUCUUUUCUUUCUUCCAUCCUCUAUAACUGGGCCUUUUCCUAUACACCUGCCAGGAUAGAUAUACAGCUUAUUCUGUUUAUUUGUUUUUUCCCCUAGACUGUAAGGUUGUGGAACCCUUCUGGUUUGUUUUCAUUUCCCACAACCCCUGAAGCAGAACAGGGGUGGAAUUUGGAGGCAGGGGAGCAGGCAUAAUUUAAACUGUCUAGACAUCAAAGAACCCCCAGAGACACUUUGCAGAGCCCCAGUGCUGUGUGAAACACAGAAAAACCACUGCUUUAUACCAUCAAAAUGCUGAUGGGACAUACAACAUUUUACUAAUAGUAGACACUUGGUGAAGGGAAUGAAUAGCCUCUCUAUUUAAAUAACUUUAAAAUCCAGGAAGAAUAGUGGAGAAUGUGACUGAAAGACUAUUUGCAAACAUGACAAAGAAAUAUCAUAAUCAUGGGCCUCCAUUCCUUUAUACAUAAAGUAAAAUGCUUUACAUGACAGUACUGAAGUAAGCUUAAUAUUAAACUAUUUUAUUAAUGUACCUGUUACUUUAUAAGAAUUUAGAUGGAAGCUAUUUCUCAUAAACAUUUUUAAAUCUCAUUUUCAGAUAUGGAAAUAUAAAAAAAUAAUCCUUUGCAACAUAAGUGUAAAAACAGAUUGAACAAGCAAUUAUUAAGCACCAUUAGUUAUUAGAAGUACUAUUAAUAUCAACAAUUAUACGCUCACUCUCCUUUCAGAAAAAUUAUAAUUGCUUUGUUCAAGUAUUUCCAGUAUCAGUUUUCAGAAAAUAUCUUAAUUAUAAAGAACACAUCUUUAAGAGAAAAGUAUGUGGGCCGCUGGCAAUGCAAAUAUGAUUUCAGCUGUUGAUCUCUGUGUUUGGGUUAUAAAAUUAAAUUGUUUAUACUUAGGAUAUAUGCACUUAAAUCUACACGUUUUACUUCACAAAAAAAGUUUUUGAAUGUUAAAAAGGAAAUAAUGUACCUUUGGAUAUAUUUGACUAUUCAUUCUACAAGUGGAAAAUUAAACUAUUUUUACCAGUGAAUGAGGAUAACAUCUAAGCACACAUAGUAAUAUAGUAUAUAUCAGCUGAUAAAGCAGAGGCCUAGAUGAAUAAAAAGAACCCUAAAAGACCAAACUAAUGUCUACUCUAAAGAAAUAUUACUACUAGUAAGAGAUUUUCUUAAAUGACUGCUAAUAAAACCUUUAUUAAAUACUAAGGUCUUUUGUAUGUUAUAUGAAUAAUACAUGCAUGUAAGUAUGUAAUUGUUAUCUGAAUAACUCCAGCACAAAACAUGCACAAAAAUGACCAAAGUAAGCUUGAAAUUGACUUUGAAGAACAGUCUCCUAAACUGCACAUUCCCUUCAAGAAGCUCACUAAUGAGAGUUUGAUGAACACUGACACAGGAGAAAUAACAGAUUAGAGGUUAGGGGGAAAAAAAAGCAGGAAUAACUCAGGAACUCAAAUAAGAGAUGGGUUAAAGGAAGAUAUUGGGUAAAUUUCUAUGUAAACAUAUGUACAUGAUUUUCAAUAUUCGGCAUGUCUGUAAUAGAAAUGUAAUCCUAGUACUCUUUUAUCAGAUGAAGAUAUUGAGACAAGAAAUGAUCAUCAAAUGCCAUAUAUUAUGCAACUUACUUCUGGAAUUCUUAAAUGAGAAUUUCAGACUUCAACCUUAAUGCACAUCUGAUGGACUUCAAUAGAAGAAGAUAUUCUUAAACAGAUAUUGAAACUUAGACGUUUUAUCCAUUUCUAUAGACUAUGAUGCUACUACUAAACAGAUGUGAUUCAUACAUUGUUACUAAACUGACAAUAAUUAGGAAACAAAAAUUUCAAAACAUUAAAAGAUAAAAGUUUAAUUAGUAUCAUUUUAAAAUAGGACCUAUAAGGACAUUAAAUAUCCCUAUAAGUAUAAACAAAGUAUAAAAUCUAUAUUAUAAUUUUCAAAGUCUUUCCAGUAAAACAGGAGGACAGAUAUCAUCUUUGACUGAAGACAUCCAACAGCCUGUAUGCCACAUAUGGGGCUCGAUAUUGAUAACUCUUCCUCUACAAACAUGCAUGUCCUGACACGCCACGUUAGCCUGCUCACUACGGAAGGCCACAGAAUGAACAAGACUGUGGUCCCUGAAGGCUGGCAGCCUGAGUUCAACUGAGGCAGACUAUUCACAAGAUGAAUCACAAUGAACUCAGCCUUCCUGGGUCUCACUCUCUUCAACUACAAAAUGUGAACACUCAAAGUCACUAUAUCAUAGAGAACUAUUCUAAAGAUGAAAUAAGUCAAAACAUGGAAAACAUUUAGAAUGAUGUUUGACAUGUUCUAAGUGUUCAAAAGUUACCACUGCUACUCAACAUAACCAAUAUCUAUCUGUAGGCUCAAAGAACGGAAAAUGGAAAGAAAUUAGUAUUUCACAUCUUGUUUAAAAAAUUGGUUCAGAAAAAAAAAUACAUGUAUAAAGACAUGAAAGAAAGAAAAAAAAAGAACUGGUUCAGUUAAGAUACUGUUUAAGUUCUAAUUUCAUUUUCAUCUCAUUAGUAAGAAUUAGCAAGUGAAGACAAAGGCAGUGAAACUCCUAGUCUGCAGUCCUUCACAUGUGAAUAAUAUUGAAAAUCAGGGAUGACUUACACAGUCAGAAUACAGAGAAAACAACAGCAAUAAAUGAUUAUUACAGUUAUUGAUUAUUAAGAACAUCUAAAAUGUGUCUAGGCUUUCACAACUGAUCCAUAUUUCUUAUAUCCCUGACAGCUACAUAAGAUGUAAGCAUGAUUCCCAGUUUUACAGAUGUGGCUGAGGCUCAGAUAUUAAGAAUCUUAUUGAUGUACAAUAACAACUAAGUGAUAAAGUGAAAUCCAAAAUUGAAUCUAAUUCCAAAACUUUCCACUGUCCUAUAUUCUGUCUCCACAAAACUGCCUGCUCCACUUCAUCCAUCUUGACUACAAAAGGAAGAAUAUUUAGCACUUGAAGGAAACACACCAAGAAAAGCCAGAUGUUGCUGAAUAGUAAGGUGGUUGGCUCCAUCUUAAGUCAACACUGCAUAUGGCUUUGAAUUCCACAGCACAGAUUUUAAAUAUUAUAAAUAUAGACCUAGGCUAUAGAAGAUUUUGUCAGUUUUCUUACUUGGGUAACACUAUCCCUGGAAACUAAGGAAGAACAAACUUUGAGAAAAUAUGAGAGAGAAUUCAGACCUACAAUUGAGAUGCCUUUGUAGAAUUGGAUCAUUAAAGAAAAACAAUCCAUUCAUUGAACAAACAUUUAUUCAAACACUAUAUAUGUCAAGAUAAUCUUGAAAUAAAUUUGCACUCUGACAGUGCUUCACACAUAAUAGAAGUGUAGGCUGAACUGAACUGAAUUUUCUGAAUACAUAUGAAAGGACUGGGAUUCGGGAAAAAGGCUGCCAUGGGGCACAUUACAAAUGUGAGGUGAACCAUUUAGAAUUGAAAUGUUGCCCUUAGUUUAUUCCAAGGAGGUGACUGGAGAUAUGAUCAUGUGUAGAUUUCUCAUGUCAUCAACUCCAAAUGCAACAGUCAAUCCAUGUCCACUGAUGACUCUCUGGGACUAUACACUUUUUCCCCAGUCAUGCAAGCCCAAAGAGAAUACUGCCAGAUCAAAAUGAAAAUUUGUACAUUCUACUAGGACCUACGCAUCCUUUUCCAUCUUGUCAGCAACAGUUAACACCACAACUCCCUUCCCAAAAUCUGUUCUCUGGGAUAUUAGUUCCAAGUGAUGCUC